Molecule: ribosomal RNA, 240 nt
Filed under: uncultured bacterium
Lineage: Bacteria
Description: partial 16S ribosomal RNA
Rfam family: Bacterial small subunit ribosomal RNA
Source: RNAcentral
UGGCGAACGGGUGAGUAACGCGUGAGGAACCUGCCUCAAAGAGGGGGACAACAGUUGGAAACGACUGCUAAUACCGCAUAAGCCCACGACCCGGCAUCGGGUAGAGGGAAAAGGAGCAAUCCGCUUUGAGAUGGCCUCGCGUCCGAUUAGCCAGUUGGUGAGGUAAUGGCCCACCAAGGCGACGAUCGGUAGCCGGCCUGAGAGGGUGAACGGCCACAUUGGGACUGAGACACGGCCCAA